This 1494-nucleotide long non-coding RNA is filed under the name Capsicum annuum. Its description in RNAcentral is "long non-coding RNA (CANN_LNC011041)". The record is from RNAcentral. Lineage: Eukaryota; Viridiplantae; Streptophyta; Magnoliopsida; Solanales; Solanaceae.
AUGCGGGCAACUCUGAUAAAGAGGAGAAAUUGAAGUAUGCUUUUGAUGGUUACACCAUUAAUCAAGAUUUGACAAAUGAAUUAAUGAUUGAUUACUCACAGUGAAUUGCCGUAGGAUUACUAAAAACUCAUUCUGCCAAGCAAGAAAUUUUUUUUUUUUCUAACAAUACUAAGGCAACAAAAAUAUUUGUGAUGUGCAAUCAAUGUUGAUUUUCAGGAAAGAAACAGACAAUCACAAUUGAGUAAAUGCUUCGGGAUUAGGUUACCCUCAAUAGGACUUUGUCGUUGCACAACCAUAGUCCAAGAAUUAAUUUUACUUGAUGUUCGAACGUAAGACAUGCUGGAACGAUUAGGUAAAUUAAUCUAAAUAUGAUUCAUAUCAUAAGUGUUUUUGCUGAUAGUUAAUUUACUGCAAUAUCAUAUCAUAAAUCUAACAACCUUCUAUUACUUUUACAAUAUGCUCUAAAUAUUUUUGAAGUCUAAUUUUGAAAUGUAAUCUGAAAUAUUAAUAUUGUAGGUUCAAUGUUGUAUUACAUUUUGUACAUUGUAGCAUAUUGUACUAACUCGGCCUAAUAAAGUCAACAUGUUUAUCAUACAUGUAAACCUAUGUAUAGUAUGAUAUCAUACAUGCAGUAUUUUUAUUAUCAGAUAUCCAACUUUAAUCAACAUGUCUUGUAGAAUACCAUGUAACACCAGUUAUUGUUAGAAAUAUCAUAUCAACACCAUAUCAUCUAUGUUUUAAUUAUGGAUAAAUUAAUUUUUUAUUACAUCCAACCCUAGAAUAUAAAAUUUUACAAAUGUAAGGAUGUAUAACUGUAUAUCAUACAUGCAGUGUCAGUCCCCCAUACUGUACUGCCCUUGACUAACAUGAAACAACCUACAAUGAAGCUAGUGAUUUCUUUCAAUGAUUUUUCUUUUGUUACCCUAUUUUCACGUGUAGCAUUUAGAUGUGAUCUUCUACCACUUGAGAAAGAAAUCGAAGCUUUAGCUGCGUGAUAGUUAUAGAUAUACAACGACUGGCCAUUUUUUUAAAACAUAUGUCGAAAAGACACAUAGUCGAUAUUAUUCAACAGAAUCGGCAGUUGAGCUGUCCACACAAUAAGACUAUGAAGAAUCAUUUGUGGUGGCUAAGAAUGAAGAUACUAUUGCAAAUAUAAUUUAAGGAUUUUGUAUUUCUGCUGGGUUACCAUGACACAUGGUUGAUGAGGUAUAUGUUUCAGUUAACUGUGACAAAGAAUUUCACUGGGUAUUAGCUGUGAUUGUCUUGAAGGAAAUAUUGAUACGUGUGUAUGACUCAUUGACAAGUAAAAAAAAAAGGAACCACCAAUCAAAAUACAAAAGCUUGCAGUGAUGCUGCCUACUUACUUGUCAGACAAUAUUCUUUUGAAAAGACUGAGCGAAUGAAUGGUCAACACUUGAAGCGUACAAGGGGAAGCUUGCUCAACAUACUGGUCUUGUCAAUGAAAUUCCAUUUGAUAUUGACUAUGUUCAAAAC